GUGCUCACUUCAGCAGCAUAUAUACUAAAAUUGGAACAAUACAGAGAAGAUUAGCAUGGCUCCUGCAAAAGGAUUACAUGCAAAUUUGUGAAGCAUUCCAUAUUUUU
Molecule: small nuclear RNA, 107 nt
Organism: Phyllostomus hastatus (greater spear-nosed bat)
Lineage: Eukaryota; Metazoa; Chordata; Mammalia; Chiroptera; Phyllostomidae
Source: RefSeq, a predicted model, not a curated record